CGCGUAGGCGGUUUUGUAAGUCGGAUGUGAAAGCCCCGGGCUUAACCUGGGAAUUGCAUUCGAUACUGCUUGACUAGAGUAUGGUAGAGGGAAGUGGAAUUCCAGGUGUAGCGGUGAAAUGCGUAGAUAUCUGGAGGAACAUCAGUGGCGAAGGCGACUUCCUGGACCAAUACUGACGCUGAGGUGCGAAAGCGUGGGGAGCAAACA
RNAcentral lists this ribosomal RNA (207 nucleotides) under uncultured bacterium. RNAcentral's name for it is "partial 16S ribosomal RNA". It matches the Rfam family "Bacterial small subunit ribosomal RNA", at positions 568 to 774 of the family's 1533-position model. The record is from RNAcentral.